GGAUGAACGCUGGCGGCGUGCCUAAUACAUGCAAGUCGAGCGAACAGAUGAGGAGCUUGCUCCUCUGACGUUAGCGGCGGACGGGUGAGUAACACGUGGAUAACCUACCUAUAAGACUGGGAUAACUUCGGGAAACCGGAGCUAAUACCGGAUAAUAUAUUGAACCGCAUGGUUCAAUAGUGAAAGACGGUUUUGCUGUCACUUAUAGAUGGAUCCGCGCCGCAUUAGCUAGUUGGUAAGGUAACGGCUUACCAAGGCAACGAUGCGUAGCCGACCUGAGAGGGUGAUCGGCCACACUGGAACUGAGACACGGUCCAGACUCCUACGGGAGGCAGCAGUAGGGAAUCUUCCGCAAUGGGCGAAAGCCUGACGGAGCAACGCCGCGUGAGUGAUGAAGGUCUUCGGAUCGUAAAACUCUGUUAUUAGGGAAGAACAAAUGUGUAAGUAACUAUGCACGUCUUGACGGUACCUAAUCAGAAAGCCACGGCUAACUACGUG
Molecule: ribosomal RNA, 498 nt
Filed under: uncultured bacterium
Lineage: Bacteria
Description: partial 16S ribosomal RNA
Rfam family: Bacterial small subunit ribosomal RNA
Source: RNAcentral